GUUUCUUCUUUCUUUGAUUUCUGGAGAUUUAAGCCACCAUUUGACGCACCGUUUCUUCCUACUUAAGGCCCAGAUUCUCCUCUCUAUUUCCCCCAAACGGCACAUCCCAAGAGCCCCCAGGCUGCUCGAAUUUUGCCUCGCAUGUCCGCAGUACCACCGCGGUAAAUCGUCGAUUGCGCAACGGCGACAUCUUCGUCCGUGAGCACGUCCGCGGGACAGUUUCCCGACGAACGACUGCGUGUGAACCAGUGUGAAAUCCCGGAGUAGAACUCACCAUCGAAUUCUCCAUCAUCGUCUUCAGCUCGGACGGCAAGCACCACCGCAACGCGACUACAUCGUCAAAGGAGUGCAACGCCACCAUCAGGAUCAUCCUUUUUCCUAUUGUGAUUGUGCUGAUUGCAACGAGUGUUUUUGCGAAGAGUGUACC
This is a long non-coding RNA of Lolium rigidum, 427 nucleotides long. RefSeq lists it as uncharacterized. The record is from RefSeq and is a predicted model, not a curated record. NCBI's taxonomy places the organism in Eukaryota, Viridiplantae, Streptophyta, Magnoliopsida, Poales, Poaceae. The transcript has 3 exons.